UACGAAGGGUGCAAGCGUUACUCGGAAUUACUGGGCGUAAAGCGUGCGUAGGUGGUUCGUUAAGUCUGAUGUGAAAGCCCUGGGCUCAACCUGGGAAUGGCAUUGGAUACUGGCGAUCUAGAGUGCGGUAGAGGGCAGUGGAAUUCCCGGUGUAGAAGUGAAAUGCGUAGAGAUCGGGAGGAACAUCUGUGGCGAAGGCGACUGCCUGGACCAGCACUGACACUGAGGCACGAAAGCGUGGGGAGCAAACAGG
RNAcentral lists this ribosomal RNA (253 nucleotides) under uncultured bacterium. RNAcentral describes it as "partial 16S ribosomal RNA". It matches the Rfam family "Bacterial small subunit ribosomal RNA", at positions 524 to 776 of the family's 1533-position model. The record is from RNAcentral.